AUUGAACGCUGGCGGCAUGCUUUACACAUGCAAGUCGAACGGCAGCGCGGGCUUCGUCCUGGCGGCGAGUGGCGAACGGGUGAGUAAUGCAUCGGAACGUGCCCAGUAGUGGGGGAUAGCCCGGCUAAAGCCGGAUUAAUCCCGCAUACGACCUGAUGGUGAAAGCGGGGGACCGAAAGGCCUCGCGCUAUUUGAUCUGCCGAUGUCGGAUUAGCUAGUUGGUGGGGUAAAGGCUUACCAAGGCGACGAUCCGUAGCUGGUCUGAGAGGACGACCAGCCACACUGGGACUGAGACACGGCCCAGACUCCUACGGGAGGCAGCAGUGGGGAAUUUUGGACAAUGGGGGCAACCCUGAUCCAGCAAUGCCGCGUGCGGGAAGAAGGCCUUCGGGUUGUAAACCGCUUUUGUUCGGGAAGAAAUCCUCUGGGCUAAUACCCCGGGGGGAUGACGGUACCGGAAGAAUAAGCACCGGCUAACUACGUG
RNAcentral lists this ribosomal RNA (484 nucleotides) under uncultured bacterium. RNAcentral describes it as "partial 16S ribosomal RNA". It matches the Rfam family "Bacterial small subunit ribosomal RNA", at positions 30 to 507 of the family's 1533-position model. The record is from RNAcentral.